RNAcentral lists this ribosomal RNA (472 nucleotides) under uncultured bacterium. Its description in RNAcentral is "bacterial SSU rRNA". It matches the Rfam family "Bacterial small subunit ribosomal RNA", at positions 355 to 825 of the family's 1533-position model. The record is from RNAcentral.
UCGGGAAUUUUGGGCAAUGGGCGAAAGCCUGACCCAGCAACGCCGCGUGAGUGAAGAAGGCCUUCGGGUUGUAAAGCUCUUUCGGCGGGGACGAAACGGUCCGUGACAACACCACGGACUAAUGACAGUACUCGCAGAAGAAGCACCGGCUAACUACGUGCCAGCAGCCGCGGUAAUACGUAGGGUGCAGGCGUUAAUCGGAAUUACUGGGCGUAAAGCGUGCGCAGGCGGCUCCUUAAGUCAGAUGUGAAAUCCCCGGGCUUAACCUGGGAACUGCGUUUGAAACUGAGGGGCUAGAGUGUGGAAGAGGGGGGUGGAAUUCCAGGUGUAGCAGUGAAAUGCGUAGAGAUCUGGAGGAACACCGAUGGCGAAGGCAGCCCCCUGGGAUAACACUGACGCUCAUGCACGAAAGCGUGGGGAGCAAACAGGAUUAGAUACCCCCGUAGUCCCUGAGCGGGCUGGCAAGGCGCAU